Molecule: ribosomal RNA, 463 nt
Filed under: uncultured bacterium
Lineage: Bacteria
Description: partial 16S ribosomal RNA
Rfam family: Bacterial small subunit ribosomal RNA
Source: RNAcentral
CUACGGGGGGCUCCAGUGGGGAAUAUUGCACAAUGGGCGCAAGCCUGAUGCAGCCAUGCCGCGUGUAUGAAGAAGGCCUUCGGGUUGUAAAGUACUUUCAGCGGGGAGGAAGGGAGUAAAGUUAAUACCUUUGCUCAUUGACGUUACCCGCAGAAGAAGCACCGGCAACUCCGUGCCAGCAGCCGCGGUAAUACGGAGGGUGCAAGCGUUAAUCGGAAUUACUGGGCGUAAAGCGCACGCAGGCGGUUUGUUAAGUCAGAUGUGAAAUCCCCGGGCUCAACCUGGGAACUGCAUCUGAUACUGGCAGGCUUGAGUCUCGUAGAGGGGGGUAGAAUUCCAGGUGUAGCGGUGAAAUGCGUAGAGAUCUGGAGGAAUACCGGUGGCGAAGGCGGCCCCCUGGACGAAGACUGACGCUCAGGUGCGAAAGCGUGGGGAGCAAACAGGAUUAGAUACCCCGGUAGUC